RNAcentral lists this unclassified non-coding RNA (576 nucleotides) under Hevea brasiliensis (rubber tree). The record is from RNAcentral. Lineage: Eukaryota; Viridiplantae; Streptophyta; Magnoliopsida; Malpighiales; Euphorbiaceae.
AAAUCGUCCAGGUGAUCUUGAUUCUGCUGUAGCAGAUCGUAUUGAUGAAGUCCUGGAAUUCCCUUUGCCUGGGGAAGAGGAACGCUUCAAGCUGCUCAAACUCUAUUUGGACAAGUAUAUAGCUCAGGCCGGAUCAAGAAAAUCUGGUGGUUGGUUUCAAAAUUUGUUCAAAAAACAGCAGCAGAAGAUUGAGAUCAGGGGACUGACUGAUGACAUCUUAAAGGAAGCAGCAGCGAAAACUGAGGGAUUUUCUGGGAGAGAAAUAGCAAAAUUGAUGGCAAGUAUCCAAGCUGCAGUUUAUGGGAGUCAGAAUUGUGUACUUGAUCCAAGCCUGUUUCGUGAAGUGGUAGAUUAUAAAGUUGCAGAACAUCAACAGAGGAGUAAACUGGCAUCAAAAUCAGAUGGAAAAAGUGCUUAGUAGUAUCGCUUGAAUUAUACUUGUUCUAUUGGGUUGUUUGUAGGUAGGUGAGCAUAUACUUGGUAACCAUAAAAGCCACAUUCUUUUUGGUUCAGGGCAUCAUGUUGUUCUCAUUAUUUGCCCCUGCUGAUGGGGGAUUUUUGGAUUUUGCUUAUUCG